UACGAAGGGGGCUAGCGUUGCUCGGAAUCACUGGGCGUAAAGCGCACGUAGGCGGCUUCUUAAGUCAGGGGUGAAAUCCUGGAGCUCAACUCCAGAACUGCCUUUGAUACUGGGGAUCUCGAGUCCGGGAGAGGUGAGUGGAACUGCGAGUGUAGAGGUGAAAUUCGUAGAUAUUCGCAAGAACACCAGUGGCGAAGGCGGCUCACUGGCCCGGAACUGACGCUGAGGUGCGAAAGCGUGGGGAGCAAACAGG
Molecule: ribosomal RNA, 253 nt
Filed under: uncultured bacterium
Lineage: Bacteria
Description: partial 16S ribosomal RNA
Rfam family: Bacterial small subunit ribosomal RNA
Source: RNAcentral